CCGUCAAAGUCGGUGGGCGGAUCCUAACACCUGAUUGGUUACCCUGCACAUCAAGUCAAGGCAAAUCGAUUCCAGAUAACGGAUUGAUGCAGAGCUUGUGAACACAUUCCGAUACACUUGGGUGGUGCUAUUCACCUCUACGUUGGUUUGGAUACUCUAUUAAACAAAACUUUAUUGGCAACCGCUAAAGACUCGGUCCUCUUGCCCAAAUGUUGAUACAGCGCGGUGCAAGACAAAAUUUCCUUUAGCACCUACUCGGCUCGCCACGGCUCGUCUCGGUUUAGUUGUUUUUCCAUUACAUUGAGUACCACCUCAUCGUGGGUGGAGUCGUCAUAGCACGGCGGCCCGGAAGUCCCUUACCGUCAUUUGUGUGCGACACAAACGCAACACAACAAUGGACAUGGAGGUGAUGGUACACCUGCUGCUCGGUCUGUGGCUUUCUGUCAGAUUCAAAGUAAUAGAAGAGUCGGAGAAAGCUGAGAGCGGCGAGUCGAAACACUCAGGAGACACACAGGAGAGUUUGGGAGGCGAUGCAGCAGUAUCAAGCUGAAGACAAGAGGAUAUGAACUAGACGACAUGUGAGGAUGCUCUCUGAUGAGACUUCAUGGGAUUUACCUGAAGCAGCAGCACAUGAGCCUGCAGUGGCACAAAGUGUAGAGGAGGAGGGCAGAGAUGUACAAGAUGCACUGAUGCAGGACGUGUCAUGCAAAAAUUAAGUUAUACUUCGGUUUUUCGGUCCCCGGACCGCUAUUAGUUUUCUUGAAUGCAAUUCUGACAAUAAACUUUUGUACCUUUUGCAGA
This is a long non-coding RNA of Amphiprion ocellaris (clown anemonefish), 801 nucleotides long. RefSeq lists it as uncharacterized. The transcript has 2 exons. The record is from RefSeq and is a predicted model, not a curated record. Lineage: Eukaryota; Metazoa; Chordata; Actinopteri; Pomacentridae.